Long non-coding RNA from Scleropages formosus (Asian bonytongue), 3711 nucleotides. Lineage: Eukaryota; Metazoa; Chordata; Actinopteri; Osteoglossiformes; Osteoglossidae. The record is from Ensembl.
GUUUCUUUGGGAUGGGGAUGAUGGUGGAGCGUUUGAAGCAGGAAGGAACUUCGCACAUCUCCAGUGAUCUGUUGAAGAUCUUUGUGAAGAUAGGGGUCAGCUGGUCAGUACAGGUUUUUAGACAGGCUGGUGAGACACUGUCUGGGCCUGGUGCUUUCCUUGUCUUCUGUUUGAUGAAGACCCGACGCACCUCCUCUUUGCAGAUCAAAGGUGCAGGAGGGGGGAAGGUGGGGGUUACUGGAGGUGUUAGUUGAUUUGUGGAGAGAGGGUCUGAAUGGGUGUGGGGUGUGAGACAGGGUUUAUCAGGAGAGGUUUGCUUUAUUAAAGUCCCAGAGAAUGAUUAUAACAGAGUCCGGGUGUUGUUGCUCUGUGUCAGUGAUCUGGUCGCCUAGCUGUUGCAGCGCUGCGUUUGAGGGCUUAUCAGCCUGAAAAGGAAAAAGGAAGUAUUCAAAUGCAAAAAACACCAAGCAAAGUUCAUUGGAAAAUAAGCCACAGACGGAGGUACAGCUGCGAGUGCGGCAACGCGUUUUUUCCUGUAAAAUUGGUAUUUUUACUUUCAGUUUUCACUUGAAGAAAAAAAAACAUUUUUUGCUUCAAAUCUGCGCUGUUAGCCCACAGUUUCCGGAAGAACUCCUGCAAUGAGAAGACAAUAAAAAAAGAACCUGAGGAGAAGAUACAUUAUGGGAGUUCUGCCACUUCCAUUUGGGACCAUCUGUGUUGUGCUCAUGCUGUUGCCUGGGCAGAACCAGAGUUCUUUGAUCCACUUCUCGGGUCAGAAACCCCUGUAUGUGGCUCUAGGUGAAACUCUGGUUCUGGAGACCCAAAUCAACAGAACUGCUAGAACUUUUUCCAAGGUGACAUGGGAAAGACAUACAGAGAAGCCUACCAAUAGGAGAGUGAGAAUAGCUGAGUUUCCACCCAGCACUUCUGACUCUGAUCCUCGUAUAACCUUGGACAUGCAAGGAAUGUCACUGAAAGUUACAGAGUUCCGCAAAGAGGACUGUGGGAUCUAUACAGUGAGGGUUACCGAGAACAACGGAAAUCAGGUGUCUGCCAAACGAAUUGUCAGAGAAGCUGAGGUACCACCUCAAUUAUCCAUCUCAUUGCUCUGCGAUGUGUCCCGGGAGAGGGAGCAGUGGGACCGUCCAGCCUUCCAGUGGCUGGUGGACGGGGAGGUUGUGUCCAACAAGACCGCUAAUUUGUCGGCGGAUGGACAACAGCUAUUCCCAUCAGGGAUUCACGGGCGUAACUACACCUGUGUAGUGACUAGCAGCCAGGGGAGAAGCACAGCUACCUACAUUACAAGUGACUUGAUGUCGGGUGCCAAUUCCUUGUAUACGGGCUGGAUUGCGAAAAUAGUCUUCCUUCUACUUGGUCUUCUCAUCUCCCUUGUCUGAAACAGUAAAUGUUCCCAUGUUACUUUGCCUGAAGAACCUGGUUCUGAUACCUCCAACUCAAAACCAAAGAAUGCCAGAAACCUCAGUGUCACACAAUUUUAUGCUCAUAAUAUUUUUUUAUAUAAGUCAAUCCCUCUUGAGAAGCUACAUGUCUUGGUCCAGUCCCUUAACUUUGUUACAGGUCAGCAUUCCAGCCUGCAUUAGAUCUUCAACUCUUCAGAUGCAUAUAACUCCAAGCACUGGCCUCAAUAUUCAUCAUUUUCAAAUACCUGGUCCAAGAUCAGCAUCUGGUCUAGGGGACCUUGGAGGCCAGAAAGACUAAUCAUUAAAGGGAGUUUUCUGUGAAAGUACUCAUUUCAGUAUCCAUAUAAAAAAUACAACAUGACUAUUCGCAGAUAUAAUGAUAUAAAACCUUUGUUUUACAAAGUUUAUGAUAAAUUCUCUUUGUCUUGGACUUCAUAUACUGCUCAUGACAACACAGAAUGACAUUCAUUUUCUCUCACUCACUCACUAGGAGCUCUUCUCAGAAUCACUGGGCACAAAGCUGAGGGUACACCUGUCCAUUAUAGCGGAGCCACACACAAACACACUCACACUACAGGCAACUCAGCAUUGCCAGCUCACCUGAACUGCAUGAGUGGUGAGGAAACCAGAGCACCGGGAGCAGACAUGGGGAGAACAUGUACACUCCACACGACUGAGCUGGAUGAGAAUGUACAGCCAAACAGCUCACUGCAUCAUGAGUAAAUCAGCAAAGUUGCAAGCGGAGAAGACAACUUGACUGUUACAGGAUAUUUCUGCUCCACCAUCUGUGCUCAAGCCAAAGUCAUACUGUUAAACACAGCAACUAACAUUACACAGCUAAUCAAAGUUUAUUUUUGCAUCAGUUAAUAAUAUGACCAUAGUAGUAAAUUACUAGAUCUCUCUAGAUCAAUAUUGAGAAGUUGUCUGUUAGAUACUAAUCAGAGCGGUUGAUGUUAUAAAUGCUGUGUCCCUACAGCAGGACACUUUCUGUCACUAAUAUGGGUGAUGUUGCUGGCAAUAAGAAGUAUUACGUGGACGCUGGUCCAAAAACCCCGAUAAAAGUCAUUUUUGAAAACAUAUGAUUAUAUUUUUCAUUUUUAACAUUGUUGAAAGAAAUGGAUGUGAACUAUAAGUUAUAUACCUGCCAAAGACAAGGAAGUCAUUCAUCCUAGUUAGGUUUUUGCCUUAGUUUUUUUCAGAUGAGUAAAGGAAAAACAAAACUUCUGAAUUAAUUUAAAUGAAUUUAUCUCACCUAAUAUUGAUCAAGAAUCAAAACAUUAAUUCAGGCAAGAAGUUAAACCUAAUUAAACUUAAUGCAAAAAAAGGUAUUUCUAUGAGUGAUUGCUUUGCUAAUUUGGUAAAACCAGCCUGCUAAGAAUAUGCAGUUAGCAUCACUUUCAUAGCUGAUUCAUUAUUUACAUUUUAUGUUAGAGUCAUUAAUAUUAUUAAGGAAACCACAGUAAAUGAAAAAGGACCUGAGAAUACUGAUCUCCAUAGAGUACCUCGAAACUGCAAGUAAUCAUUUUGUAUUCUUAUGCAUUGCUUUGUUAUAUUCUGUGUAUAUGCUUACAGGAUUUUUAACUUUACUGUGAUAAUGAAAGUUACACAAAGCUGACCAUUAAGCUGUUUUUCCUUCAACAUUUUUCUCUGGCUUAAAGUCAAGAAAAAGAAAGUAAAUGGAAAACAACUAAACUGUGACUGUCACCAUAUAUUGUUGCAGUCAUUUCUGUCUAUAAAGAGAGAACCUUUCUUUCUAGAUAUUCUUCUGCAAAACAUACUGCAAACAUCCACACCAGAGAGCACAGAUCCCAUUCACAGUCGAUGUGGGACAGAGCCCCGUUCAGAAUUAGUUGGUGGAACAGAAGAUCAACUGAUGGACCAGUUGGUCCUGAAGGUCACGUGGAUGGAUAGGAUUCAUGCACAACCCUCAGCUGCUUAAACAGGACACAUAUGGAUGCAAAAACUCCUUUUCAUAGCUUUAACAGCAUGGGAAUAGUUGAGAAACAGGGAUAGAGUAGAAAUUAAGAUGAAAAAUAAUCCACACAUGAUCAAGUGAUUACCAGCUUCUUCAUGAAACAAAAUGUAUUUUAGAAUGGCCAAAAGUCAUCUCACUUUAUCCAUGGGGAACAAUUGCCUGACUUCGCUCAAUCAUAAGGCAUUAUAGUGUCAACAGUUUUGUGUCCAGACUUUUCCAGAAGCCAACAACAGGACAACCCUACUGGCUCGCCACUUUGUUAGGCAUCCAUCAGAAGGGAAUAAAAGCUUUGCUAGCUGAGAGAAAAAUGUAGUA